CGCUCAUCCAGAGGGGCAGAGGGACACGGCCCGUUGAAGCCCCGGCAACCCUCCAGCCGGUCUCCGCCGCACGACAGCACAGUGCGCGCGCGAGGCUCCCGGCUAGGGAAGGUGCCAAAUCCGUCUCACGGCGAAAUGCGUCGUGAGGAAGAUGAGGA
Non-coding RNA from Streptomyces sp. 769, 158 nucleotides. NCBI's taxonomy places the organism in Bacteria, Bacillati, Actinomycetota, Actinomycetes, Kitasatosporales, Streptomycetaceae. The record is from Rfam.